GUCUGUCGCUCCGGAUCUUCAGAGUUAAUCCAUAAAGAAUCGACCAAAUGUGCAGUGCAAUGCUCAGCCCUCUGCGCCGAGAAAAAGCAGCACGUCGCGGUUCUUUUACUCUGAAGAGAAAGCGCGCAGUCUGGACUCCUCUGCAAAGCCUGUUGGGGGCAGCUUGACCUCUCUAAUUAUUCCUCGUCAACCCUGAGCUGCUGGCCACUGGACAGCCAGGAUGAGGGCGGGACAGACUGUGAGUCACACCGGCCAGAUGGAAGUCAGAUUAUCCUCCAUUAGAUGACAUAAUGCUAUGGUGGUCUUCUUUUCCCAGACCCAAACAAAGCAGUCUGUUGGUUCUAUAUCAGGAUGCAGGUUCCACAGAUGAAAUGUAAUAAAAGAAAAGAAAGAAAGAAAAAGUAGCAACACACCUAUCGAUAUUAUGCU
Poeciliopsis prolifica (blackstripe livebearer) is the source of this 429-nucleotide long non-coding RNA. RefSeq lists it as uncharacterized. The record is from RefSeq and is a predicted model, not a curated record. The transcript has 3 exons. Lineage: Eukaryota; Metazoa; Chordata; Actinopteri; Cyprinodontiformes; Poeciliidae.